RNAcentral lists this ribosomal RNA (492 nucleotides) under uncultured bacterium. RNAcentral's name for it is "partial 16S ribosomal RNA". It matches the Rfam family "Bacterial small subunit ribosomal RNA", at positions 29 to 507 of the family's 1533-position model. The record is from RNAcentral.
AGUGAACGCUGGCGGUAGGCCUAACACAUGCAAGUCGAACGGCAGCACAGUAAGAGCUUGCUCUUACGGGUGGCGAGUGGCGGACGGGUGAGGAAUACAUCGGAAUCUACUUUUUCGUGGGGGAUAACGUAGGGAAACUUACGCUAAUACCGCAUACGACCUACGGGUGAAAGCAGGGGAUCUUCGGACCUUGCGCGAUUGAAUGAGCCGAUGUCGGAUUAGCUAGUUGGCGGGGUAAAGGCCCACCAAGGCGACGAUCCGUAGCUGGUCUGAGAGGAUGAUCAGCCACACUGGAACUGAGACACGGUCCAGACUCCUACGGGAGGAAGCAGUGGGGAAUAUUGGACAAUGGGCGCAAGCCUGAUCCAGCCAUACCGCGUGGGUGAAGAAGGCCUUCGGGUUGUAAAGCCCUUUUGUUGGGAAAGAAAAGCAGCAGGUUAAUACCCCGCUGUUCUGACGGUACCCAAAGAAUAAGCACCGGCCAACUUCGUG